UAUAUUUUUUUAUUUAUCUGGAAUUAAAAUUGAUCCCUGUAGCAACAAAUUAAAACUGAUCAAAUGAGAUAUAACAAGAAAUCUCUCUGCAGUCAUUAAUUCAAAUCCACAUAAAACUUAUCACUGAUAAAUUAUUAAUCAAUACUAUAUAUACUAUACUAAUAUGAUAAAUUGAUUGUCUCUGUUGGAGUCAGUCAGAGCAUUUCCAUAGAGAGCCACUUUGCAUCAGCAGCACCAUGCUCCAGUGCUCUGGGAGAGUUUAUAGUCCUGAGAGUUGAAGACUGGAUGACUGACAGCUGUCCUUCAUGACAACAGAAGCCACAGAAAUCCUCCUCAUCAAAAACAUGACUUUGACCUCCGUCCUCAUCUGGACUCUCCUCUGCUGCUGCUUCACAGAGUCCAGAGGCCAGGUCACAGUGACUCAGCCUGGAGCAGUGAGAUCUGCUGUGGGAGGUUCCGUCACCAUCAGCUGUAGGGUCAGUCCAAAGGAUGAUGGUGAUUGUGGCUCAUCACAGAACCUCCCCUGUCUAUCCUGGUACCAACAAAGAAAUGGAGAAUCUCCUAAACUGCUUAUUUACACAGGAAGUCAAAGACCAUCAGGGAUUCCAGA
Molecule: long non-coding RNA, 610 nt
Organism: Lates calcarifer (barramundi perch)
Lineage: Eukaryota; Metazoa; Chordata; Actinopteri; Centropomidae
Exons: 2
Source: RefSeq, a predicted model, not a curated record